UUUUAGCCCCGAUAGAAGUGAAAAUCCUUUUGUGCCGGUCCCGAGGCUUCGGGAGGCACAAAAGAUUGUAACGUAUAGCGGGAAAUAGC
This 89-nucleotide small RNA is filed under the name Flavobacterium cutihirudinis. Its description in RNAcentral is "Flavo-1 RNA". It matches the Rfam family "Flavo-1 RNA". The record is from RNAcentral. Lineage: Bacteria; Pseudomonadati; Bacteroidota; Flavobacteriia; Flavobacteriales; Flavobacteriaceae.